GCAGUCAUUAAUUUUCUUUAUUGGGUUUUUGCUUGAGGACCGAGUCGCCUGCAGUGCGUCCAGCUCUGCACAGUAUCAGGCUUCCACAGUGACCCAAGGAUCUCAUAAAGCCUGUAUCAUGCUCCUUAUGAUACUCUAUUUUUUUUUUUACAGCAUUUGAUGGGUGAUUCUUACCAUCACGUGGUUCUUGGCAGCUGUGCCAAAGUGGGGUAGUGAAGCUAUUGAGAAGAAAUUCUUGCUGUUUCAUGCCAGUGCAUGGGGCAUCCCUGGAACGCUGACCAUCAUCCUUUUAGCGAUGAAUAAAAUUGAAGGUGACACUAUCAGUGGCAUGUGAUUUGUUGGCCUCUACGAUGUUGAUGCCUUGAGUUAUUUUUUUCUUGCACCCUCUGCCUGUAUGUGGUAGUUGGGGUUUCACUCCUUUUAGCCGGCAUUAUAUUUAGAAUGCGAGUUGAGAUUCCGAGAACCAGGAUAAACUGGUGAAGUUUAUGAUCCAGAUUGGUGUUUUCAGCACUCUGUAUCUCGUACCACUCAUGGUUGUAAUUGGAUGCUACUUUUAUGAGUAAGCUUACCACGGCAUCUGGGAAGCAACGUGGAUACAAGAACGCUGCAGAGAAUAUCACAUUCCAUGUCCAUAUCAGAUGAUUCUUACAGAGGAGAAUAACCAGGGAAAAAUACUAAUGGACAGGGUGCUUGAUGUACAUCACGAGCAAGAAAACAUGCCAAGCGCCAAUGGAAAGCGACCCUCCAACAGUUCUCUAAGCCAUGAGGAAGACCUGGCUAAGGUGAUCAAGCUCCAGGAAAUCAUAGAGAGGCAGUCAUGGGAGUAGAGCCAGAUGAAGGAGCGCCUGGCAGCCCUCUCUGCCCACGUGACAGAGCUGGAGGAGGACCUGGACACAGCCAGGAAGGACUUCCUGAAGUCCGAGGACGUGAACAGGAAACUGCAGCGGGAUGUCCGCAGAGACCAGCUGAUUCUAAACCUGGAAACCCUGAGAGCCGAAGUGGACCAGACGAGGCUGCGAGGGGCUCCCCUCCACCACGGCUCGACAGGCUCUCAGGACAGCCCUGGGAACAACCCCAGCAGCAGCACCAGCAGGCAGGACUCGCUGCACAAAGCCUGGAAGAAGAAUGGCAUCAAGUCCUCCAUCAGCCACUUGUUUCACAAGAAGGAAAAGGGCUGGCCUGAACACCCUGGCAAGGAGGCAUUAGGACCAGGUGAGUGUUUCACCAUUCAGAGGGAGGAGGGCCUGCAGGCAUGUCCCUUCUGUGUCUCCCCCUGUUAUCCCCACGAGGUUCCUGUCACUCACACUGGGGGUCCUCCUGGAAGCAGGAGAGGAGGAGGUGUCUGUCUUCUCAAUGGGUCUGUGAUGAUCGGAUGA
RNAcentral lists this long non-coding RNA (1376 nucleotides) under Bos indicus x Bos taurus (hybrid cattle). Its description in RNAcentral is "lncRNA (ENSBIXG00000001156.1)". Lineage: Eukaryota; Metazoa; Chordata; Mammalia; Artiodactyla; Bovidae. The record is from RNAcentral.